UCGUCCCCGUCUUGAUAACCUGCAGCAUACAAAAUUCCGGUUGCAUCAGUAAUUUGCAGUUCAGUUCCUUAGUCACAUGGCUAAUGGAUAAGAGCUUAUGUGAUAAUGACGGAACAUAAAGGCCGUUAGACAGGCGUAAAGUAGGAGAAAUAUUAAUUGUUCCCGCCCCCGGACUGGCGCUAGGUCUCCACUGGCAGUUUGGACAUAGUUUUUUUUUUAUUUUGAAAUGGAUAAAAAAUCUGAGGCAUCAAAUGACAUUGUGUCGGUAGCCCCGCAAUCAAAUAUCCAUUGGGUGUCUUUGGUAUGUGAUUGUGAGGUUGAAGACAAUGCUAGGGGUUCAAAAGAAUUUUUACACGGAGUAAAUGGCUGAAUUUGAGGAGUAAUCUGCAAUGUUUUGGCAGUUUUGGGGUCAUUGUGAGUUUUGGGUAAAAUUCGUGGGGCAUUGUGAGGUUUAGGACAGAUCUGGGGUGGUUUCUGGUAUAUUUGGGAGGAAUGGGGUCGGUUUUGGGAUUUUUUAUUUUUCAUGGGUGGAUUUUGGGAUUGGGUAUGAAUCUGGGGUGGGAUUUGUAGUAUAGGGAAAUUAGAGGGGUUGAAUUUGUCUUUUGUAAGAGUCUGGGUAUUUGAUUGAAGAUCUCCCCCAUUCUCGGAAACCCCAGCCGCCUCCCCUUUAUUCUUCCUCACUUCUUCCUUGUUUCCCAUCGCAAAGCUGCCGCCGCCGUGGAUGCUCUUCGAUGGAUAGGCCCUUGUCGGAGAAGGCGUCGUCCAGACCCUUGUCGGAGAAGGCGUCGUCAUUUCACGGGAGGGACGCUGAGGACGACAUGCUUCCGAGGCUGGAGGCUGGAGGUAUGGCCGACAUGCUUCCGAGGCUGAGGACGGUGCCGGGCUUGCUGGCCGACAGAAGAGGCGGCGGGAGUUCGGCAGCUCCACCGAGGACGGUGGAUAGGCGCUGUCCGUCGGUGCGUUGGCCCCGCACCUCCUCUGCUUCUUCCUCCUUUUCCACCGCAAAGCCACUGACGCUCCUUCACCCUCUGAGAGCUCUAGCGUCGGCGCCGCCGGCUGUUGACUGAAUACUCCGAGACGUCGAUUGGAAGGAGAAGUCGGUUGCUUAUAACCAGCAAAACCAGAUUCAGGAAUGUGUUGACAUGCUUGUUGCCUCCUCUGUUCAUGUAACUGAAGAAACUCUUCCCACAUAUUCGCAUGUUCACUCUUUAGUGUAGCUACUUUUCUCAUGAAAUUCUCCCUCAUCUCUGUAACAGCCUCACGAUGCUUGAAAUUUUCAUCAUCUUCUUCUUUGUCCCGAAGUUUAGCAGAUUCGCCGCUGGUUUUCUUCGGGUGGUAGGAUUUUUGGUUUUGAUUUGUGUUGGCUUUGUACAAAUCAAUUAGAUUUGAGAUAGACUCGAUCAAUAGCUCGAGAGUGUAUAUUUGAUUGACCUCCAUUUGAGGCUUUUUGUUGAUUUCCUGCUCUGAUACCAUCUUAACGAUGGUAAUCGAGAGAGGUGAUACUCAUAUUGACGAAAGAAAGAUAUAGGAUGUUUGAGAGUAGAAGAUGUAGUGUAUUGCUUUUUAAUUUGAAUAAUGUACAGCCUCUACGUUAUAUAGGAUAGAAUCAUUCCUAUCUAUGGUAAAGCUGUAAAUGUAAUCAAUCUAUUUUUGGAUAGAAUCCAAUUGAAUCAAUCCUAGCAAUCAAAUAAUUAUUCUCCUCAAUCUUCUCUCUUGGUGUGAAUAUUCUAUGGGAUCCAUUUUGACACUUUGAUACUGUUUCAUUAUGUGGAAUUAAAUUUCAACUUUUCCCCUAAUUACUUAUUAACCGCUCUUUCCGCUCAAUCAAUACACAGCUUUAACCUUCCUGCUGUUUGAAGGAGUGGCUGAGCCUUCUCCGACCACGGGUUCCUUUUUCAAGCCUCAGUUGAUGCAAGCAUAUGUUGAAAAUGCAGCAAUUCUAUUUGAGAAAAAAUCCACCAGUGAUAAUGUUGUAGAUGAAAGAACAUCCAGUGGUUACGAGUUUAGGUUUCGUACUGGAGUUAGUUCCACAUCAGGAUUAUCUUCUGCAGGAAUUUCGGUAAUGCACCAAAACUUUCCUUUAAGUCUUAAGAUAACUCUUAUUGGUGUAGUUUUCAAAAUAAGCCGCAUGUGCUCAAACAAUUGAAUGGGUUGCAAAAUGAUUUUAAAUUAUGUUUCGUAAGUGCAUGUUGAACUUAUGAUUGUAGAACCUGCCUUUCAAAUGGAAAACUGAUCGAUCUUUUGAUAGAUUUUAGGACUUUGUGUCCUUUUUUCCCUAUAUUUUGAUGGAUUAAGGAUAAUUAUUUUUAUGUGUCUCGUUCUCGUGCACAAACAUAUGAAUAUAGUUUGGCUUCUAUGGUUUGACAUGGUCAAAAAGGUUACACAUUCAGAGUGAAGAUCAAUUUAUUAGGAUCAGUGAGUUCUGAUCCUCCCUCUAGUUAUCCAAGGUCUUCAUAUCUCACUGGAUACCUUUUUUUUGGGGUGUAAAGGUUCCUGUAGGAAUAAAUCAAAACGGACUAGUCACUCAUCAAGAUCAGCAAUAUUCUCAGUCUGCUACACCCUCUUUUUUUGGCACAACAAUCUCAUGCUGUAGCUCAACAGAAUUCAUCUGUCUAUGAUAGUAUUGAUGAAUCAAAUCAAGGACCACAGUCCAAUACAUGUCAAUAGCCUACAUAUCAAAUGUCAACAACUUGUCAACAAUUGUAUAAAGUGUGAACAACUCAAAAAACAAAUCUUAUAAUUAAAAAAGAACAAGUAUUUUUUUUUUCUUUUUUUUCCUCUUUACCACAAGUUCUGGCAUGAUGAUCAUACAAUACAUGUCAAUAGAGUGCAAAAUCAAAUAUCAACAACUAAUAAGAAAAGGCCAAUAACUUGGAGUAUAUGUCAACAACUAAAAAACAACUCUGAUUAUUAAAAAGAACAAUUAUGUCUUCUUUUUGCCACAACUUCUGGCAUUAUGACCAGACACUUUAUGACACUUUCCACAACGCCUAUGAGGUUUAUUUGCUUUUUCAAUUGCUUUCUCUAUGCUCGACUAAAGCCUGCUUUUCUUGUCACUUGCACCUCCCGUUUACUAACCACAUCUGGAGCAUGUGCAGUUAUUUCUUCAGGUACAACAACACCAUAUAUGUUCUUGAUUGAAUCAUUUUUACCAACUGACGACGAUCCAGUAGUGUCAUCAGUAAAAAUUUGAGGACCAAUACCCGCAAGCACAUUAUCCAAAGCAAUCGAAUAAUAUUUAUUCCUAAAAGCGCGUUGAUAUAGACCAAAGUAACGUCCAUGACACCUGUUACCAAUCUGUAGUUUGUCAUCUUUGUUAGAACCUGCAAACAUAUAACAUGUCAAUAGCCUAUAUA
Molecule: RNA transcript, 3356 nt
Organism: Salvia splendens (bonfire salvia)
Lineage: Eukaryota; Viridiplantae; Streptophyta; Magnoliopsida; Lamiales; Lamiaceae
Exons: 2
Source: RefSeq, a predicted model, not a curated record